RNAcentral lists this ribosomal RNA (775 nucleotides) under uncultured Neocallimastigales. RNAcentral describes it as "partial large subunit ribosomal RNA". It matches the Rfam family "Eukaryotic large subunit ribosomal RNA", at positions 25 to 634 of the family's 3401-position model. Lineage: Eukaryota; Fungi; Neocallimastigomycota; Neocallimastigomycetes; Neocallimastigales. The record is from RNAcentral.
ACACUGACGUCGCGACGCAUAUCAAUAAGCGGAGGAAAAGAAACUAACAAGGAUUCCCUUAGUAACGGCGAGUGAAGCGGGAAGAGCUCAAAUUUGAAAUCUUCAAGGUUCUACCUUGACGAAUUGUAGUUUAAAGAAGUGUUUUCUGUUAGAUGAGUAGGCAAAAGUUCCUUGGAAUAGGACAUCAUAGAGGGUGAGAAUCCCGUAUUUGGUUAUUCAUUCUAGCUUUGUGAUACACUUUCAAAGAGUCGGAUUGUUUGGGAAUGCAGUCCAAAAUGGGUGGUAAAUUUCAUCUAAAGCUAAAUAUUGGCGAGAGACCGAUAGCGAACAAGUACCGUGAGGGAAAGAUGAAAAGAACUUUGAAAAGAGAGUUAAACAGUACGUGAAAUUGUCAAAAGGGAAGCGUUUGACACCAGUGUUGUUUUUCCGAAAAUCAAUUAUAAAUGUUUUGUUUCUGAGGAGUGAUGACUUCAUCGGCUUCCUUCUCUCUUCACGAAACUUUUGUAAUGCACUUUUCGGUUAACAAGUCAACAUCAAUUUCUUUUGUUGUAAAAGAGUAUUCGGAAGGUGGCUUUCUUUUCGGAGAAAGUGUUUAUAGCCCUAUACUUCUACAAUCGGAGAGAUUGAGGUCUGCAGCGUAGAUCCUUCGGGGUUAGAUACAUUUGUGCUAAGUUGUAGCUUUUCAUAGACAACUUGUUGACUAUGUUUAGUCAUGCGGCUUACUCGCUUAUGCUAUUUUACCUACGCUUAGGAUGUUGAGUCGUAGAGCACGCAG